AAAAUAUAAAUUUGUUCUAUUUGUGACGCUCAACGCGCUGCAAGUCCGGCCUCUCCCAUCUCCUCAUUGUUUUUUUAGGAGCAUAUACACCGAAGAUUACGUAUGUAACCUUCAUUAUGUUUCACUAUAUUGGAUCACUCCAAUAUGUUGGUAUACCAGUACCAGAUUAGUCGGUGCUAGAAGGACCUGGCAAGCCAGAGUCAAAGUCCCAGAGCGGGACCAAGGCGUUGGGACCGUCAAUGUGGAAGGGUGGGUCCCGGCACAGUCCCCGGAAGGGGAGGCGAAGCCCAGGACCGCUGAACCAACCACAGAGGGAGGUGCCAUAUUUACCCGAUAUCUUGCAAAGGUGCAAGAGGAAGCCCAGCUGGCCGCAGCACAGAUAUCAGCGAGGGGCACUCCUCUCAGUAGAACCCAGGACGCAGCCAUAUCUCAUGUUGAAUGUGCCACCACAGAUCCCAGCACUGGCCUGCCAGCCAGGCAGUAUGCUGUCGUAAUUGUGUCCAUGAUCCAGUGAGACAAAGAGCUGGUCUGUUGUUCUCACUGACCGUGUCCGCUCCCCAUAGGCAGCCAGUGCCCUCACAGGGCACAGCAUGCCGGAGGGAGGCCCAGACCCCCCCGCCACUGCCGGGGAGGCGCGGGUCGUAAGCAGACAGGAUAAAAAGAGAUGUUCACAUGUCUGUCUGACAGAACCUCCGGGAGGAAUGAAGGGUUGGGGCGGAGAGAUAUACUCUUCCCUCCAGGGUCCAUCCGGUAGCACUCAAAACUUACUGAAAGAGCAUGGAGCUCACCCACCCUCUUCAUGGAAGUAAUCGCUACCAAGAAAUCCACCUUCAUAGAGAGGUGUUUCAGGGAGGCUGACUCCAACUGUUCGAAAGGCGGCUUUGUCAAACCUGCCAAUACCACAUCCAGAUCCCAGCUCGCCAUUGAGCGGGUCCUAGCUGGACGCACGGGACGAACCCCUUUCAUAAACCUGGAGACCAAGGGAUGGCACCCCUAUGGCUUCUCCAUCCACUCCACAUGGCAGGCAGAUAUAGCGACCAGAUAACCUCUCAGGGUAGAGGCUGCCAAACCCUCAUCGAAGCGAGACUACAGGUAUUGGAGGACAUUACUGCACCCAGCAUUACUCGGGCACAACCUCAAUACCAGUACACCAAGAGCAGAACAACCGCCAGAGCAACUGGUAUGCCGCAGUUGUAA
Molecule: long non-coding RNA, 1197 nt
Organism: Oncorhynchus tshawytscha (Chinook salmon)
Lineage: Eukaryota; Metazoa; Chordata; Actinopteri; Salmoniformes; Salmonidae
Source: Ensembl